This 679-nucleotide unclassified non-coding RNA is filed under the name Hevea brasiliensis (rubber tree). The record is from RNAcentral. Lineage: Eukaryota; Viridiplantae; Streptophyta; Magnoliopsida; Malpighiales; Euphorbiaceae.
GCAUGAUUUGAUGCAUGAUCUUGCCGCACAAGUAGCAGGGGAUGAAAUCAUUUUAUUAAGUUCAGAUGCAAAGUGUGUUGAAAAAAAAACUCGAUAUUUUUUAAUUGAUUUUGAAGUUGAGUCAUGGUAAAAUGUUGCAAAUUGCUUACCUAAUGUGUCAAAGGUGAGAACAUUUACAUCAUUUAAAUGGUCAAAAAAGCAUGACAUUAAAGAAAUAGAAUGUGGUGAAAUUUUUUCAAAUUAAGUCGUGUAAGGGUAUUAAAUUUGCGUGGUUUGAGAAUUAAGAAAGUGCCACAUUCCAUUGAUAAAUUAAAGCACAUAAGAUUUCUCGAUCUUUCUGAAAAUAAAGGCAUUGAGUUCCUUCCUGAUUCCAUAAUUAAACUUCAAAACUUGAAAUUCUACGCCUACUCAACUGUGAAAGGCUUAAACAGUUGCCAAAGCAUAUCAAAAAGUUGGUCAAUCUCCAGCAACUUUGGCUUGAUGGAUGUGUUAGUUUGACUCAUAUGCCACGUGGGAUUGGUCAACUAACUUCCCUUGAGUAUUUGGCCAAAUUCAUGUUGGCCAAAGACAAUGGAGUCUCCAAGCAUAGUGGUGGACUCGUUGAAUUACGUUACUUGAAUAAUUUGAGGCGACGUCUAGAGAUUUCGAAUCUUCAGUAUGUGAAAAAUCCAGCAUCUGA